AGAGUCUCAGAGAGGAGAACUGAUCGGCUCUGACCACGACUUCAACACCAUCCUCAAACACAUAAACGAGUUGACCAUGAAGCUGGACCUCCAGUCGAUUCUGCGUGGAGCUGAGGCCAUCUACCUGCAGCUGCUCUCCUGCAAAGAGUUGCCGGUGAGAGUUCAGGAGGUGCUCGGUUUGUGUGUCCGUGCCCCGAGCUCCGACAGCAGCCCCGACUCCCAGAGCAGCGAGAGCGAGCGCCUCCUCCAACAACAAUAACCCUCCAUCCCGCCCCCGAUACGGAUACUCCGCAGUGAGAGGGGGGGUUCUACACGUGCCUCUACGGCGGAACGUUCAGCAGAUACUACGCAUCACAGAAACCCGUCAAAAACACGUGAAGAAGAGUCUGAAAACUGAAAAAAGCAGAUACAAAACGGAUUUAAACCACACAUUUUCAGCUGCUGGACUUUCUGCCAUAGACAUACAUGCGGAACACGUCACUGCGAAGCAUCGAGAUCAAAAAAACAAACAAAAAAACUCCCCGAACCCGAGACCUGAAGUGCAAUCACUAAUAAUAAAAAAAAAUUAAUACUAACGGUUUGAAAAAAAAAAAUAAACUGAUUCAAAACGGUGGAAAAGAAACGAAAAGACGGUUUGAGUUCACGACAUCGGAACAUUCU
Long non-coding RNA from Boleophthalmus pectinirostris (great blue-spotted mudskipper), 660 nucleotides. RefSeq lists it as uncharacterized. The transcript has 3 exons. The record is from RefSeq and is a predicted model, not a curated record. NCBI's taxonomy places the organism in Eukaryota, Metazoa, Chordata, Actinopteri, Gobiiformes, Gobiidae.